RNAcentral lists this ribosomal RNA (814 nucleotides) under uncultured Alphaproteobacteria bacterium. Its description in RNAcentral is "bacterial SSU rRNA". It matches the Rfam family "Bacterial small subunit ribosomal RNA", at positions 36 to 899 of the family's 1533-position model. The record is from RNAcentral. Lineage: Bacteria; Pseudomonadati; Pseudomonadota; Alphaproteobacteria.
CUGGCGGCAGGCCUAACACAUGCAAGUCGAGCGCACCUUCGGGUGAGCGGCGGACGGGUUAGUAACGCGUGGGAACGUACCCUUUUCUACGGAAUAGCCUUUGGAAACGAAGAGUAAUACCGUAUACGCCCUUUGGGGGAAAGAUUUAUCGGAGAAGGAUCGGCCCGCGUUAGAUUAGAUAGUUGGUGGGGUAACGGCCUACCAAGUCUACGAUCUAUAGCUGGUUUUAGAGGAUGAUCAGCAACACUGGGACUGAGACACGGCCCAGACUCCUACGGGAGGCAGCAGUGGGGAAUCUUAGACAAUGGGCGCAAGCCUGAUCUAGCCAUGCCGCGUGAGUGAUGAAGGCCUUAGGGUCGUAAAGCUCUUUCGCCUGUGAUGAUAAUGACAGUAGCAGGUAAAGAAACCCCGGCUAACUCCGUGCCAGCAGCCGCGGUAAUACGGAGGGGGUUAGCGUUGUUCGGAAUUACUGGGCGUAAAGCGCACGUAGGCGGAUUGGAAAGUUGGGGGUGAAAUCCCGGGGCUCAACCCCGGAACUGCCUUCAAAACUAUCAGUCUAGAGUUCGAGAGAGGUGAGUGGAAUUCCAAGUGUAGAGGUGAAAUUCGUAGAUAUUUGGAGGAACACCAGUGGCGAAGGCGGCUCACUGGCUCGAUACUGACGCUGAGGUGCGAAAGUGUGGGGAGCAAACAGGAUUAGAUACCCUGGUAGUCCACACCGUAAACGAUGAAUGCCAGUCGUCGGGCAGUAUACUGUUCGGUGACACACCUAACGGAUUAAGCAUUCCGCCUGGGGAGUACGGUCGCAAGAUUAAAA